GUGGGCUCCUCCCCGCCCAGCAGCAGCCGAGUCAGCGCCAGGAAGGGAAACACCCGGUUCCGGCUGUAGGAGCGGCCCAGGCAGAGCCCGGCCGGCCUCGCUCGGCUUCUCUCCUGCAGUUCAUGUGGCCGGUUCCUUCCUGGGAGGAGCCUGGCGCGUGACCUGGGGCUGGCCCCUGGGGGCGGGGCUUCUGCCUUGUUUGGUGGGUUGGGUUUUAAUUUCCCUCCCGAGAGCGCGAUUGGCUCCCGGUUCCCCAAUUGGCUUUAAAAAAGCUUUAAAGGCUCGUUACUGCACCUGCACGAUGUUUGGUUUCAGUUUUGGGAUCCCCCGGCUGCUGCUGGCCCUGCCCCUCGCUCCUCCUGCAGCGCCGCGUGGCUGCGGGCGCCGGGCUCAUGUGCAGGGGCCUUGACUUGUUCGCUUGUGCUGGUACAUCAUCCCCACCCCCAGCCUGCCCCUGCAUUCCUGACCUCAGGAAAGGGAAACUACCCCUGUCCCACUGCCCAGAGGGAGCCAUGGCUGCGGAGAGCCCCGGGGAAAGUCUCCAGGAGGAAGCGACGUGUCCCGUCUGUCUGGAGUAUUUCACAGACCCUGUCACUCUGGAGUGUGGGCACAAUCUCUGCCGAUCCUGCAUCGCCCAGUGCUGGGAGGGACCCGACACAGCCACCUCCUGCCCUCAGUGCAGAGAAACUGUGCAACAGAGAAACCUCAGGCCCAACAGGCAGCUGGCGAACAUGGUAGUUCCCCCCACUAGCCAUUCUGAGCCCCAGUCUGUGACCCCCCAGCAGCACCAUGUGCCCCUCUCUGUCCUAGCCUGGCUCCCUGCUGCCGGAUGUUCUGACACCGCAGUGGCCUCUGGUGGGUGAAAGGUGGAACUACAUCACUUCUCUGGCAGAAUGUGGUUUCUGUGGGGAAAAAAUUCUGCAGCCGGAAAUGAAUUCUGUGUUUCCGCAGUAGCUCAGAAUUCUCCUGGGAGUAUAUAUUGCAAUGAUGAAUGUCACUGCAUCUAAAUUUUAGCUGCCUAGAAAUUUACUGGAAGGACACUGUGAGCCCCAAAGCCUGAGUUCUGGGGAGAUGUAAGUGUCUUAGAAUGGGAUCCACAAAAGCCAGCUGACUCGGUAGGAAACUGCCUCACCUAACUGAUGGGAAAUGCUGACCAGAGGGGCAUUGUACAGGGGGGUCUAGGGACCUAACUCAGCUUUGUGGAUUGCAGGGCUGUUCCUGUGACUCUCGAGUGCCUAUUGUCUCUUGAUAAAUUUUCUUCCUGAUGUAAAAUCCCCAAAAUACAGAAAAAACAAAAGCAGCUUUUCUCUUCUUAGGAUCCAAUUUGGAGGGAUUGGGAGAGUGUGAAAAAGGAGGGGGAUGAGAAUAGGGUGUUUAACAAGAGUGGGAAGAAGGAAUAUCCAGGAACUCCUGGAGUCAGGAUCUGUAACAACAUUGUACCCAGUUGCUCAUGAAGAAUCCAGCGGCUUCCCCACCAGCAUCUCUGCCCAGCUCGCCUUUCCCCUCGCAGCUGCAGCUCCUGGUCUGGCUCCAGAAGGCCACUCCCCAGAUUCCCUCUUGAUCCUGAUCUCAGAUCCACUCUGCCACAAACGAGUCCUGACUGCAGGGCCCGGCCACAGGAAACAGCCGCAGAAUGAAG
Molecule: long non-coding RNA, 1639 nt
Organism: Chelonia mydas (Green sea turtle)
Lineage: Eukaryota; Metazoa; Chordata; Testudines; Cheloniidae
Exons: 3
Source: RefSeq, a predicted model, not a curated record